Non-coding RNA from Brachypodium distachyon (stiff brome), 118 nucleotides. The record is from Rfam. NCBI's taxonomy places the organism in Eukaryota, Viridiplantae, Streptophyta, Magnoliopsida, Poales, Poaceae.
UUACUACGACCUCCGUCCAACAAAAGAUAUUUCAACUUUGACUAAAUUUGAAUGCAUCUAGAUACAUUCAAAUUUUGACAAACUUGAGACAUCUUUUGUUGGACAGAGGAAGUAUAUA